AGUGCAGAAUCUGUGCCCGGAGGCUGGGCGAUGUGGGCAGGGGCCUGAUCCCCGCCAGCUCUCACUCCUGCCUCAAGGGAGCGAGUCGCUUCCAAGCCCCAGUGCCCAAGGCCAAGCGCAGAGGGGUGAGAGGUGGGCGUUGAGACAAGGAUUUCUGCGGGAGAGAAAGGCUGAGGGAAGGCGGAAGUGCAGGCCGCGCCAGCUGCAUCCCAUCUGCCCUGGGCAGCCGGCCAGGCAAGCCUCCCAGGCCCCUCCAUGCCCUGAGAAAGACCCAGAGGACCCACAUUCCCACCUUGGAGCCACCAGGAGCGCUGCCUUUCUCCUUAGGCCUCACAGAGGAGCUGGUCAGAGGCUUCCGUCUUUCUGUCUGCACCCAUUGGGAGCCAGCUCUGCCCUGGUGCCAUCCAGGAACCCUGAGGACUGAUCUCUCCAACCUUGGUGGAUUCUGGAGGGUUCAGCCUCUUUCUCGCUUUGUGUCCCGCAUUCGAGGGCAGGCAAGAGGCUUGAAAGGAAAACUAAAUAUGGCAAAACCAUGGCUGGAGAUUUUGGGAAGCUGGAAAGCAGGGAGACGAGAGGGUGAGCCGCUGGGGCGCCAGUGUACCAUUUAUUUGCUGUGUGGCCACGGGCCAGUGCCUUCCUCGCUCUGAGCGUUUCCUCAUCUGUAAAUUAAGCCUAAAAUGCAGGCCUCCUAGACUUGCUUUGAGGAGUCCAGAAGCACUGGGUGUGAAUGCAUGCGACACCCAGGAAGCAGACAUACCUCACUCAGCCUCCUAUUUGAUGCUAUUACUGAUGGCGGCUUCUGGCCCUCAGGCUGGAGACCAGAUGAGGGGUGAGAUGACAUUUCAGCCCCUGGAGACUAGGGCCCAGGGUCCUUCCGGUUGUAGAUAAGAUCCAGAGCUGUGCUAGGCCUUGGGUCCUAUCGAAAUUCCCACGGGAAUCCCUGGCGGAAGAGCCGUCCCGGGCCCAAGCUUAUCUGCACUCCCGCGCGUCUGGGAAGUGGGGUCAAGUGCAGUUGUCUGGGUUGGUUUCCAGCAGGGAGGCCAAAGGCCGUGGACGUAGUCUGGACUCAGUCAUGCUGCCUGCCGGUCUGGGGAGGACGCCCGGGGGCCCGGAGGGGGAUCACUCAUUCCCAGCCCUACCCGUCUCGAGGGGGGCGGCCGCUCUUCUGGAAGACCCCUGAGAGCAGGCUGCAAACGUCAGGGCAGGAGGCGGCCCAGUGCCUUCUGCGCCAGCCCUUCCAGUGUCACCCGCUGUGCUUGCCCAAGGACCACCAUCCCGGAGGAGGGAGGAGUUGCGGCCCUGAGCUGCGGACACUCUAGUCUGAAGGGGACAGAGUCCUUGCCAGGGAGCCGCCCCUACUCUGCGGAGGGAGUAGUCUUCUGGAACCUGGAGAGAGCGUCUAUACAUCCUGUCCUCUCCCCUCCCCUCCCUUUCCUCUUCUCUCUUCUCCUCUGCUCCUUUCUUCUCUGCUCCAUCACAGCCAAGCCCAUGGCCUUGGAGACCCCGGGGUGCAACGGGAUCCCCAAAUAGGAGUGUUUUGCACCUGGGGUUCCCAUUACACAUUGUAGGCUGGGAGGUGGGCUUCGGAAGUGGAAGGCAGCUCGGACGUUAACUCCAGCUGGGGGAACUGAGGCCCACCAGCACACUGCAUGCUCCAGGGCUGGGGGUGGUGCAGAGAGGGGCUACAGAGCGGGUCCCCGGGGAGAGGGCGGUGGGCAGGCGGCAGGUGGCAGGGUUCUCCCUGGGUCAUGACAGGGCCCCUCCAGGCCCACUUCUC
Molecule: long non-coding RNA, 1777 nt
Organism: Chinchilla lanigera (long-tailed chinchilla)
Lineage: Eukaryota; Metazoa; Chordata; Mammalia; Rodentia; Chinchillidae
Exons: 3
Source: RefSeq, a predicted model, not a curated record